UACAGAGGCCCCAAGCGUUGUUCGGAUUUACUGGGCGUAAAGGGAGCGUAGGUGGCAUUCUAAGUCUGAUGUGAAAGCUCUGAGCUUAACUCAGAAAUGGCAUUAGAUACUAGUUUGCUUGAGGAUUGGAGGGGAGAUUGGAAUUCUUGGUGUAGCAGUGAAAUGCGUAGAUAUCAAGAGGAACACCAGUGGCGAAGGCGAAUCUCUGGACAAUUCCUGACACUGAUGCUCGAAAGCUAGGGGAGCAAACGGG
This 253-nucleotide ribosomal RNA is filed under the name uncultured bacterium. RNAcentral describes it as "partial 16S ribosomal RNA". It matches the Rfam family "Bacterial small subunit ribosomal RNA", at positions 524 to 776 of the family's 1533-position model. The record is from RNAcentral.